CCCUUAGAUGUUCUGGGCCGCACGCGCGCUACACUGAUGCAUUCAACGAGCGUAUCCUUGACCGACAGGUCCGGGUAAUCUUUGAAUCUGCAUCGUGACGGGGAUAGAUUAUUGCAAUUAUUAAUCUUCAACGAGGAAUGCCUAGUAGGCGCAAGUCAUCAGCUUGCGUCGAUUACGUCCCUGCCCUUUGUACACACCGCCCGUCGCUCCUACCGAUUGGGUGUGCUGGUGAAAUGUUCGGAUCGGCCGUUUGUCGCGGUUUCCGCGUCAUGUGGCUGAGAAGUUCAUUAAACCCUCCCACCUAGAGGAAGGAGAAGUCGUAACA
Molecule: ribosomal RNA, 325 nt
Filed under: uncultured eukaryote
Lineage: Eukaryota
Description: partial 18S ribosomal RNA
Rfam family: Eukaryotic small subunit ribosomal RNA
Source: RNAcentral